UUUUUAAACCAGAUCUUCUUGAUAGACUGGCCACAAGGUCAUGGUCGAGCAUUAUAAAAUAAAUCUCACGAGAUGACGUUGUCUGUUAUUUAUCAGAACAGAAAUUGUGUGGGAAAGUUAAAAUGGAUACAAAUAUUUACAAUUGAAAAUAUAGAAACAUUUCUUACUUGCAGAUAUACUUAACCAUAUGCAAAAUGUAGUUGCUGGAGGAAAUAUAAAGUAACAAUCUUCAAUAUGUCUAAAACCAGGAAACUAAUAAUAUUAUGUGUCGCACCAAGAAAAUUGAACCCAGAAGAGACCGUAUAGCAAUAAGAAAGAAAAAGAAAACUUGUAGCGAAAGAUGCGGACCUAAAGCAUGCAUAAAGAAGAUUUGCCGUUUUUUUUGUAGAAGAAUUAAGAGGUGUGUCAAGAAGAAAGUCUUCGGAGUGCCAGACCCCAAACUCCACGAAUAUGAAGUCGUCGGAAUUAAUCUAGGCAGCAUAAAAGAUAAGAUAUUACCAAGUAAAGAUCGUAGUAGAACAUCGCUAGCUAAUCAAAACAAGAAAAUGACGAAGCUUUACCUCGAAGAUUUAGACCUGAUAAAAGGAAUGAACGCAAGUGAACUGGGAAAGAAAUUUUCUGUAUCACCAUCAAAAGCCAAAGUAUUAGAUAAAUUGGUUGAAGAUUAUAAGAAAGGACGCCUUUCUGUUACUAUGUUGCCAAACAAAUCUAAGAUAAGGACAAGGAAACUUAACAAAGAGAAACUCAAUAAGAUAAUACAGGAUUACGAUGAAAUUAAAAAGAACAGUAAAACUAGGUCAUCGAAAAUCAUCGAAAAACUGAGAAGUAUGGAGCCAGCGGAAUUGAAAAAGAAAUUUUCACUGACUAGUUCAAGACACAGAGUUUUAGAACGAAUGGUGGAUGAUUAUAAGAAAAAUAAAUUUUCCUUUUCAAAUCUAUCACACCAUUCUAAAUUCAGUUCAAGACGAAUAAGCAAGGGGCAAAUGAACCAAAUGUUGACAAAUUAUGAGGCACAGAAGAAAAAGAGUUUGAAACUUCCGUUUUCAUUGCCAUCUAGACUGGGACCCUUAGAGCCUUUAAUUGAUGAAUUAAAGAAUACCAGAAUGUCAAUUUCCAGCAUUACCAGAAAAGUCUUCAGAAAAUGAUUCAUUUUAUAACUUGCUUCUAAUAAUGUCAGUACAAUAAAGUUUGUCGUUGUGCCUUAUUA
This is a long non-coding RNA of Ostrinia nubilalis (European corn borer), 1207 nucleotides long. RefSeq lists it as uncharacterized. The transcript is spliced from 2 exons. The record is from RefSeq and is a predicted model, not a curated record. Lineage: Eukaryota; Metazoa; Arthropoda; Insecta; Lepidoptera; Crambidae.